RNAcentral lists this long non-coding RNA (297 nucleotides) under Manihot esculenta (cassava). RNAcentral's name for it is "long non-coding RNA (MESC_LNC000865)". Lineage: Eukaryota; Viridiplantae; Streptophyta; Magnoliopsida; Malpighiales; Euphorbiaceae. The record is from RNAcentral.
UGUGCUGUUGGUCUCUUUUAUACAUAUAUAUCUUACUUUGUUUAAAAUAUAAUGGAAAUCAGAGAUUAAGAAAGAUGUUAAUGGUAAUAUAUGUUUGUCCCUGUAGGAGCUCAACCGCCCGACAACAGAUAUUAUUAAUUAUUAAUUAAUAUUGUCAUUGUUGUUGGAAAGGAUAUGCUACACCCUUCUGAAGCUUCCAAACUCUCUGUUCAACAUUAGUGUUUUUUAAGAUUGCAUCAUAUUUUGAUUAUCUCCAUGUAUGAAGAUGAAGCUGUUUAGUAAAUAACUACAAUAAUC